UGGGGAAUAUUGCACAAUGGGCGCAAGCCUGAUGCAGCCAUGCCGCGUGUAUGAAGAAGGCCUCGGGUUGUAAAGUACUUUCAGCGGGGAGGAAGGGAGUAAAGUUAAUACCUUUGCUCAUUGACGUUACCCGCAGAAGAAGCACCGGCUAACUCCGUGCC
RNAcentral lists this ribosomal RNA (161 nucleotides) under uncultured bacterium. Its description in RNAcentral is "partial 16S ribosomal RNA". It matches the Rfam family "Bacterial small subunit ribosomal RNA", at positions 355 to 509 of the family's 1533-position model. The record is from RNAcentral.